UAAUACGGAGGGGGCAAGCGUUAUUCGGAAUUAUUGGGCGUAAAGGGCGCGUAGGCGGCCCUGUAAGUCAAAGGUGAAAGCCCUCGGCUCAACCGGGGAACUGCCUUUGAUACUGCAAGGCUCGAGGCCGGGAGAGGGUGGUGGAAUUCCCAGUGUAGCGGUGAAAUGCGUAGAUACUGGGAGGAACACCCGUGGCGAAGGCGGCCACCUGGACCGGAUCUGACGCUGAGGCGCGAAAGCGUGGGGAGCAAACAGG
Molecule: ribosomal RNA, 256 nt
Filed under: uncultured archaeon
Lineage: Archaea
Description: partial 16S ribosomal RNA
Rfam family: Bacterial small subunit ribosomal RNA
Source: RNAcentral